UGGUCGAGAUGUAAAGUUUGUA
Molecule: non-coding RNA, 22 nt
Filed under: Drosophila melanogaster (fruit fly)
Lineage: Eukaryota; Metazoa; Arthropoda; Insecta; Diptera; Drosophilidae
Source: RNAcentral